GCCGGGUGUGGUGGCACACACCUGUAAUCCCAGUUGCUCAGGAGGCUGAAGUAGGAGGAUUUCAAGUUCAAGGCCAGCCUCAGCAAUGUAGCAAGGGCCUGUGGAAGUUAGUAAGACCCUGUCUCUA
RNAcentral lists this small RNA (127 nucleotides) under Marmota monax (woodchuck). The record is from RNAcentral. Lineage: Eukaryota; Metazoa; Chordata; Mammalia; Rodentia; Sciuridae.